GACGAACGCUGGCGGCGUGCUUAACACAUGCAAGUCGAACGGAAAGGCCCUGCUUUUGUGGGGUGCUCGAGUGGCGAACGGGUGAGUAACACGUGAGUAACCUGCCCUUGACUUUGGGAUAACUUCAGGAAACUGGGGCUAAUACCGGAUAGGAGCUCCUGCUGCAUGGUGGGGGUUGGAAAGUUUCGGCGGUUGGGGAUGGACUCGCGGCUUAUCAGCUUGUUGGUGGGGUAGUGGCUUACCAAGGCUUUGACGGGUAGCCGGCCUGAGAGGGUGACCGGCCACAUUGGGACUGAGAUACGGCCCAGACUCCUACGGGAGGCAGCAGUGGGGAAUAUUGCACAAUGGGCGGAUGCCUGAUGCAGCAACGCCGCGUGCGGGAUGACGGCCUUCGGGUUGUAAACCGCUUCCGCCUGUGACGAAGCGUGAGUGUCGGUAAUGGGUAAAGAAGCACCGGCUAACUACGUG
This 468-nucleotide ribosomal RNA is filed under the name uncultured bacterium. Its description in RNAcentral is "partial 16S ribosomal RNA". It matches the Rfam family "Bacterial small subunit ribosomal RNA", at positions 28 to 507 of the family's 1533-position model. The record is from RNAcentral.